This 599-nucleotide ribosomal RNA is filed under the name Citrobacter freundii. RNAcentral's name for it is "bacterial SSU rRNA". It matches the Rfam family "Bacterial small subunit ribosomal RNA", at positions 921 to 1520 of the family's 1533-position model. Lineage: Bacteria; Pseudomonadati; Pseudomonadota; Gammaproteobacteria; Enterobacterales; Enterobacteriaceae. The record is from RNAcentral.
CCGCACAAGCGGUGGAGCAUGUGGUUUAAUUCGAUGCAACGCGAAGAACCUUACCAGGUCUUGACAUCCUCUGAAAACCCUAGAGAUAGGGCUUCUCCUUCGGGAGCAGAGUGACAGGUGGUGCAUGGUUGUCGUCAGCUCGUGUCGUGAGAUGUUGGGUUAAGUCCCGCAACGAGCGCAACCCUUGAUCUUAGUUGCCAUCAUUAAGUUGGGCACUCUAAGGUGACUGCCGGUGACAAACCGGAGGAAGGUGGGGAUGACGUCAAAUCAUCAUGCCCCUUAUGACCUGGGCUACACACGUGCUACAAUGGACGGUACAAAGAGCUGCAAGACCGCGAGGUGGAGCUAAUCUCAUAAAACCGUUCUCAGUUCGGAUUGUAGGCUGCAACUCGCCUACAUGAAGCUGGAAUCGCUAGUAAUCGCGGAUCAGCAUGCCGCGGUGAAUACGUUCCCGGGCCUUGUACACACCGCCCGUCACACCACGAGAGUUUGUAACACCCGAAGUCGGUGGGGUAACCUUUUUGGAGCCAGCCGCCUAAGGUGGGACAGAUGAUUGGGGUGAAGUCGUAACAAGGUAGCCGUAUCGGAAGGUGCGGCUG